Molecule: microRNA precursor, 61 nt
Organism: Nomascus leucogenys (northern white-cheeked gibbon)
Lineage: Eukaryota; Metazoa; Chordata; Mammalia; Primates; Hylobatidae
Rfam family: mir-1285 microRNA precursor family
Source: Rfam
GGAGGAUUUCACUUGAGCCCAGGAUUUUGAGACCAGCCUGGGCAACAAAGUGAGACCCUGU